This 442-nucleotide ribosomal RNA is filed under the name uncultured bacterium. RNAcentral's name for it is "partial 16S ribosomal RNA". It matches the Rfam family "Bacterial small subunit ribosomal RNA", at positions 338 to 795 of the family's 1533-position model. The record is from RNAcentral.
CCUACAGGUGGCAGCAGUAGGGAAUAUUUCACAAUGGGCGAAAGCCUGAUGGAGCAACGCCGCGUGCAGGAUGAAGGCCUUCGGGUUGUAAACUGCUUUUAUAAGCGAGAAAUAUGAUGGUAACUCAUGAAUAAGGAUCGGCUAACUACGUGCCAGCAGCCGCGGUCAUACGUAGGAUCCGAGCAUUAUCCGGAGUGACUGGGUGUAAAGAGUUGCGUAGGUGGCAUAAUAAGUAGCUAGUGAAAUCUGGUGGCUCAACCAUUCAGACUAUUAGCUAAACUGUUAAGCUCGAGAACGUUAGGGGUAACUGGAAUUUCUAGUGUAGGAGUGAAAUCCGUAGAUAUUAGAAGGAACACCAAUGGCGUAGGCAGGUUACUGGAACGGUUCUGACACUGAGGCACGAAAGCGUAGGGAGCAAACAGGAUUAGAUACCCCGGUAGUC